RNAcentral lists this ribosomal RNA (480 nucleotides) under uncultured bacterium. RNAcentral describes it as "partial 16S ribosomal RNA". It matches the Rfam family "Bacterial small subunit ribosomal RNA", at positions 29 to 523 of the family's 1533-position model. The record is from RNAcentral.
AAUGAACGCUGGCGGCGUGGAUAAGACAUGCAAGUCGAACGGAGUUAGCAAUAAGCUUGCUUAAGGCAAACUCAGUGGCGAACGGGUGAGUAACACGUGAAUAAUCUGCCUUGAAGUGGGGGAUAGCCCUGGGAAACUAGGAUUAAUACCGCAUGUGGUCGAGAGACUAAAGCAGCAAUGCGCUGUAAGAUGAGUUCGCGUCCUAUUAGCUAGUUGGUGAGGUAACUGCUCACCAAGGCCUUGAUAGGUAGCCGGUCUGAGAGGAUGUCCGGCCACACUGGAACUGAGACACGGUCCAGACACCUACGGGUGGCAGCAGUCGAGAAUCAUUCACAAUGGGGGCAACCCUGAUGGUGCGACGCCGCGUGGGGGAAGAAUGUCUUCGGAUUGUAAACCCCAGUCAUGUGGGAGUAAGCUAGUGAUAGUUGAUAGUACCACAAGAGGAAGAGACGGCAAACUCUGUGCCAGCCGCCGCUGUAA